UGGGGAAUAUUGCACAAUGGGCGCAAGCCUGAUGCAGCAACGCCGCGUGAAGGAAGAAGGUUUUCGGAUUGUAAACUUCUAUCAACAGGGACGAAGAAAGUGACGGUACCUGAAUAAGAAGCCCCGGCUAACUACGUGCCAGCAGCCGCGGUAAAACGUAGGGGGCAAGCGUUAUCCGGAAUUACUGGGUGUAAAGGGUGAGUAGGCGGCAUGGCAAGCCAGAUGUGAAAGCCCGCAGCUUAACUGCGGGAUUGCAUUUGGAACUGCUGAGCUAGAGUACAGGAGAGGUAAGCGGAAUUCCUAGUGUAGCGGUGAAAUGCGUAGAUAUUAGGAAGAACACCGGUGGCGAAGGCGGCUUACUGGACUGAAACUGACGCUGAGGCACGAAAGCGUGGGGAGCAAACAGG
This 407-nucleotide ribosomal RNA is filed under the name uncultured bacterium. Its description in RNAcentral is "bacterial SSU rRNA". It matches the Rfam family "Bacterial small subunit ribosomal RNA", at positions 355 to 776 of the family's 1533-position model. The record is from RNAcentral.